This is a long non-coding RNA of Herpailurus yagouaroundi (jaguarundi), 801 nucleotides long. RefSeq lists it as uncharacterized. The transcript is spliced from 2 exons. Lineage: Eukaryota; Metazoa; Chordata; Mammalia; Carnivora; Felidae. The record is from RefSeq and is a predicted model, not a curated record.
AGGUUAUUUCUUUUCUGUAUCCCCAUUACCUAACACAGUGUCUAACAUAAAAAUAGUGUUUUAAUAAGUAUCAGUUUCAUCCAGUGUUUUUACCUCCUAAAUAUCUCUCAGAUCUAUCCAUUCCUCUCCAACUCCACAACCAUCACUACUCAUUAAUUUUGGUCUUCAUCCAACCACUUGCCACAUCUCUCUCCUUAACAUCUCUCUUACUAGCAUCUUUCUUUUCAUUCCUCCAUUCAGUAAUUAUUUCGAAAAAUAUUUAUGGGGCACCUUCUAUGUGCCAUACAUUGUUUUCAGGGCUGAGGAUAGGGUUGUAAAACCCAGCCAAAAUCCAAGCUUUCAUGAAGCUUAUAUUCUAGGAUUCCACAGAGGAAGGGUAUAAGACAAGGGUAACAGACAGUUAAGAAGCAAGAUGAAAAUUAAAUAUAUACCAUAUAUAUUAGUGGUAAGUGCUGAAGAAAAAGAAAAAAAAGCAAGAAAAGAGGACAUCAACUAUUGGGGGGGGUGGUAGCUGAAAUUUUAGAUAGGGUAGCCAGGGAAGGGGGUCUCUAAAAAGGUGUUUUUUAAAGAAAGACCAGUAGUAAGGAAGCCAGUCAUGUGGAUAACUAGGCAAUGAGUAUUUGAGGCUUUUUUUGACUCAAUAAAUAUGUUAUCUACUUUCACCUACAAACUCCCCAAUUUGCUUAGAUUAGCUCUAUGUUGUAAGUAAGUAUGUAGCUCUUGCUGUAAGUCUGCAUACUACAAAAUGAAAACCUGAAGAAAUAAUUUAAAAAAAAAAAGGCAUCUAGAAAUACAUAGCCA